Rosa chinensis is the source of this 459-nucleotide long non-coding RNA. RefSeq lists it as uncharacterized. The record is from RefSeq and is a predicted model, not a curated record. NCBI's taxonomy places the organism in Eukaryota, Viridiplantae, Streptophyta, Magnoliopsida, Rosales, Rosaceae. The transcript has 3 exons.
GGCGAAGAUUGGCCCAAGAUAUGAUAUGCCAAAUCAAAAUCAUUCAAUUCCCUCUCAGUGAAUUUCUAUGCCAGUGCUUUGCUAAUGUUUGGCUGGAGAUAAACAAUGGAGGUACUAGCAUUGAAUUUCUACUUUCCACUUUUAUGUGCCAACUUCUGGAUCCUCUUUUGAUCAAAGGCUCAAAGCAUCUCUGGUUGUUAUGCAAUACUGCUAGCCUGCAACUGAAGGAGCAAUAAAGUCAUUGGCAAUAACUUCAGAGUUAUGUGGGGAAAACAGAUGGCAUAUGGCUAACAGUAUUGCACCUUUAUAUGGACUCGUGAGAUUCUUAAUUUCCAGUUUCCAGGUCAUCAGUUGCAUAUAUUUACUUCUAAUUAUGGAUGUAGGUUAUGGAGAGCACCUGUGGAUUCACUUACUCCUACAAUAGUAGACAUGCUCAAUGAAUAAGCUAAAGUAAAUCAA